GAUGAACACUAGCGGCGUGCCUGAGAUAUGCAAGUCGAAUGUCUUUUUCUCCGCAAGGAGAGAAGGUAAUGGCGGACGGCUGAGUAACACGUGGGGACCUGCCCUAAAGUAGGGAAUAGCUCACCGAAAGGUGGGGUAAUACUCUAUAUCCAGUUUACUGGAAAGAGCUUAACUGCUCGCUUAAGGAUGGACCUGCGGCCUAUCAGAUAGUUGGUGAGGUAAAGGCUUACCAAGUCUAUGACGGGUAGCUGGCCUGAGAAGGUGGUCAGCCAGAGGAGCACUGAGAUACGGGCUCCACUCCUACGGGAGGCAGCAAUCAGGAAUAGUCGGCAAUGGGCGAAAGCCUGACCGCGCGACGUCGCGUGUAGGAUGAAGCAUUAACGUGUGUAAACUACUGUGGUAAGAGAAGAAAUUCCGAUUUAUCGGAACUGACGGUAUCUUACUAGAAAGAGGCCGCUAACUGCGUGCCAGAAGCGUCGGUAAGACGUGGGCCUCAAGUGUUAUCCGGUGUUAUUGGGCGUAAAGAGUCGUGUAGGUGGCUUAGUAAGUUCUUACUUAAAGACCGGGGCUCAACCUCGGGAAAAGUAAGAAUACUGUUAAACUAGAAUAUUCUCAAGGGAGAUUGGAACUGAAAGAGGAGCAGUGAAAUGCGUUGAUACUUUCAGGAACAUCAGUGGCGAAGGCGAAUCUCUGGGAGAAUAUUGACACUGAGACACGAAAGCUAGGGGAGCGAAGCAGAUUAGAGACCUGCGUAGUCCUAGCCCUAAACCAUGCUUGCUGGCUGCAUUGGCUCCAAUUUAUUGGAGACGGUGUGGCGAAGCUAACGCGUUAAGCAAGCCGCCUGGGGAGUACGGUCGCAAGGCUGAAACUCAAAGGAAUUGGCGGGGAGGCACACAAUCAGUGGAACAUGUGGUUCAAUUCGAAACAAACCGAACAACCUCACCAAGAUUUGACAUGCUAAUGACGACAUUUAGAAACAUUUGUCUUUUAGCAAUAAACAUUAGCACAGGUGCUGCAUGGCUGUCGUCAGCUCGUUCCGUGAGGAGUACCCUUAAGUGGGAUAACGAGCGCAACCCCCGUCCCGAGUUAUAUUUGUCUCGGGAGACUGCUCGUCCUUUGGACGGGAGGAAGGAGGGGCAGACGUCAAGUCAGCAUGGUCCUUAUAUCUUGGGCUACACACAUGUUACAAUGGACAAAGCAGAGGGUCUUGCCACCUGGUAACAGGGAGCUAAUCCAUAAACUUGUCCUCAGUGGGGAUUGGGGUCUGCAACUCGACCUCAUGAACGCGGAAUUGAUAGUAAUCGCGAAUCAGUCAUGUCGCGGUGAAUACGUUCUUGCCUCUUGCACACACCGCCCGUCAAGCCAACAAAGUUGGGAUAGUCUGAACUCUGCCUUAGGCAGAGGAGGAUUGUCUCGGCGAUGGGGGUU
Molecule: ribosomal RNA, 1428 nt
Filed under: uncultured bacterium
Lineage: Bacteria
Description: bacterial SSU rRNA
Rfam family: Bacterial small subunit ribosomal RNA
Source: RNAcentral